GUCGUUCUUAUAACAGCUUUUGUUGUUCGUAAGAAGAGGAAGAGCUCCAAGACUUCUAUUCAUUUUCCAAACAAUGAGAGGAAACAUUUUCCACGUUGGCUCUCUAAUUUGCCACCUUCCUGACAAAGGCCUGUAAGUGACCUCGAUGAGUCCGUCUAGAGCUAUCAAGUGAGCCGAGGUCGAUCUGAUUACACCAGCCGACAGCCGCUGACAGUGAUUUCACCGUCUGAAUAAACGCCAUGCAUAUUUCAGGAGGACAAAGGAGGGAGAAGAAACACAAACACCCUUCUAGGUGGCUUCUGUGAGCGCCCGUAAAAAAUUCAGAUGCUAAAGUGGGCAAAAGACAAAAACAUCACGAAGAAAGACCAAACAGAAAAUGCUGCGUGGGUGUUGUUAUUGCGCUGUAUUUGAACAUGGACCGUGUAACACAAAGCCAUCAAAAAUAAUUAUUAGUGUUAAUUACAUCACCCAUGUAGAUUUAUUAUCAACUCUGAGGAAUGAAACAAAACUACAAAAUAGCCUCUUCACAUUUGGAUCAUCUGAAAAUGUUAGAACAACAAAAGGGUUUGUUUCUUUUUCUUAAAUUAAGUGUUGCACGAUGGAAGCAGCAUCUCAUUCAGGAUCAACAUCAUGCAUUUGAGCGUUAACAAAAAAAAAGACCGACAUAUCUAAAUUAAAAAUUUUAAAAAAUGGAUGAAAUGCAGAUUUUGUUUCUUGUACAGCAAUUCCAAACCCUUACUGUUUCUUUGUUACAACUCUCUUAGUAAUAAAGAUGCGACGACAUGGUGAAAAUGUUCAUCCUUUAACACAAUUCUUAAUCUUUUUUUUUUUUAAUAGACAUCACAUCACCUCAUAUAAA
This is a long non-coding RNA of Xiphophorus maculatus (southern platyfish), 859 nucleotides long. RefSeq lists it as uncharacterized. Lineage: Eukaryota; Metazoa; Chordata; Actinopteri; Cyprinodontiformes; Poeciliidae. The record is from RefSeq and is a predicted model, not a curated record. The transcript has 2 exons.